This 473-nucleotide ribosomal RNA is filed under the name Flavobacterium johnsoniae. Its description in RNAcentral is "bacterial SSU rRNA". It matches the Rfam family "Bacterial small subunit ribosomal RNA", at positions 92 to 573 of the family's 1533-position model. The record is from RNAcentral. Lineage: Bacteria; Pseudomonadati; Bacteroidota; Flavobacteriia; Flavobacteriales; Flavobacteriaceae.
GAACCGGCGCACGGGUGCGUAACGCGUAUGCAAUCUGCCUUCCACAGAGGGAUAGCCCAGAGAAAUUUGGAUUAAUACCUCAUAGCAUCAUGACCCGGCAUCGGGAUAUGAUUAAAGUCACAACGGUGGGAAGAUGAGCAUGCGUCCCAUUAGCUAGUUGGUAAGGUAACGGCUUACCAAGGGCUACGAUGGGUAGGGGUCCUGAGAGGGAGAUCCCCCACACUGGUACUGAGACACGGACCAGACUCCUACGGGANGCAGCAAUGANGAAUAUUGGUCAUGGGCGCCAGCCUGAACCAGCCAUGCCGCGUGCAGGAUGACGGUCCUAUGGAUUGGAAACUGCUUUUGUACCGGGAAGAAACCUCCUACGUGUANGACUUGACGGUACCGUAANAAUAAGGUCGGUUACUCCGUGCCAGCAGCCCGGUAUCCGAGGAUCCAGCGUUUUCCGGAAUCUUGGGUUUAAGGUUGUA